UGAGCCAGUCCAGGUCGAGACUUUUGAAGACCACAAGAGCGACGAUGGAGGUCCCGUUGUACUCGUCGGCGGAGCUGGGUGCGCCCUCUGGAUACAUCAAGCGGAUGGUUGUACGAGAACCAGCAUCUCUCUCAUAGCCAAUUGUCAACGCACCUGAUGAUGACGUCAUACUGAUCUAUAUGUGAACCAAGGCGGCUCCCGUGGAGUACCCCUCCACUGCCCACCACAAUGCAUCUUCUGCAGCUUCCGUCUCGCCGCAAAGACUGAGGCAGACCAGGCUGAGGUAGAGAUGCGAGAGUGCGAGCCAGAACCUCUUGGCUCCCUCUGAGCCCUAGAGGAGGGGGCAUGUCCCAAGAGGCAGCGCUGCCCUCUUGCUGCAGGAACACCGGGAUGUCCAUCAGGGUCGAAGAACAUGGCAACUGCUUCAGGCGCUCCACGCACCAUCGACGAUGACACCGGCCUGACAGCAGGCAAGCCGAACGGUUCAGCACAUCCUGAGGCGGAAGAGGAGUGGAAUACCACGGUCUGUGUGUGGGUGUGCAUGUGUGUCAAAACAUACCUGUUUGGGAUAUUGAUCAUCAGUAAUAGCCAAUUUGUGCAUAGGGAAAUAUGCUGGAAUCAGAAUAGCAGAGUAGCAUCCAAACAGAAGUAGCACACUGAGGACAGCAUUCUCAGUCCUGGAUGAUGACAACACAUUAUUAGUUUGUGAUCUAAAUGGACACUCACACAAAAGGUGGUACGAAUUUUGAAAAGGAAUUUAAGAUAUGCUUAAAACAUAAUACAUUGUGUAGUAUUCCAUCAUAUCUUUAGGUUUUGGGAAUAGACUCUAUUCAAUCCUUCAAAGAACCCAUUCCAAAUUUGUUAAGAAAAAAAAAACAAUGGAAUGAAGGAAGAAGCAUUUGACCUGACUGCAGUAAGUUCCCAGCCCCUGCGUUAAGUUGAUUUGUUUUCUUUACCUGCUUAUGAAAAAUUCGCUGCAUGGCAUUGUUUCUUUGUCUGCUACAGGCGUCAUCACUUCCGGCUCUGCAUUCUUAGGCAGCAAUAUAGAAACAUCCUGUCUUCUACAUUCAAGCGAUCGAGGGUCACUAUGGUAACAACACCUCCAACACAGACAUAAGUCACGGCGCUAUCUGAUGUUGGACCAGACUCAAUGAGAGGAGCUGAGAAAAGAAGGGGGUGCUAACCAGCCUCUGUGGAAUUGCGUGUGGAACCAGCCGAGGAAUGCUCGUGCAUUCCCAUGAUACCCCGCGGCGUCCAAAACAGCUUGACGAGGAAUUCAUCAAUUCAAUCAUCUGCUUUAAGGUAGAAUCUUCACUAAUGUACCCAAUAUGUUUAAAAUUUAUAUAUGCUAAUGUACACACAUGGACAGGAACAUGUAAUUAUAAUGAUUUCAGUUCUAAUUUGAAAAUAAUCUUCUUGAAGAUUCUUUUCUCACUGAUGUCUAAUUGUGCGUCACUAUUUAAAUGAAGGACAUUCACUUGCCUUCUUUCCACUCGCCAUGGUACUCCUCUCCAGUGGCGUAGGUGAAGGAGCCUCUGGUCAGAGUCAUGUCGCCCCCUCUAUCUGACAAACACAUGUAGUACGUACAUGAGGUUUACCUUUGACCUCGCACUUGAAAUCCACUGCUGCAGAGACAAAUUGCCCUGAUGGGAUUAUCACAGUGUCACUGGGAAAAAGGAGAACUGUGUCUCUCUUUGUGUCUCUUUUAUUUAGUCACUCAUGUCACCAAGUUGGAUAGACACACGAGAACAGAAUACAGUACACUGUUGUCCGAUAUUAAAAAUUGAUUUGUCAGUUAAA
Molecule: long non-coding RNA, 1800 nt
Organism: Syngnathus typhle (broad-nosed pipefish)
Lineage: Eukaryota; Metazoa; Chordata; Actinopteri; Syngnathiformes; Syngnathidae
Exons: 4
Source: RefSeq, a predicted model, not a curated record